GAUGAACGCUGGCGGCGUGCCUAAUACAUGCAAGUCGAGCGAACAGACGAGGAGCUUGCUCCUCUGACGUUAGCGGCGGACGGGUGAGUAGCACGUGGAUAACCUACCUAUAAGUCUGGGAUAACUUCGGGAAACCGGAGCUAAUACCGGAUAAUAUCUUGAACCGCAUGGCUCAAUAGUGAAAGACGGUUUUGCUGUCACUUAUAGAUGGAUCCGCGCCGCAUUAGCUAGCUGGUAAGGUAACGGCUUACCAAGGCGACGAUGCGUAGCCGACCUGAGAGGGUGAUCGGCCACACUGGAACUGGGACACGGACCAGACUCCUACGGGAGGCAGCAGUAGGGAAUCUGCCGCAAUGGGCGAAAGCCUGACGCAGCAACGCCGCGUGAGUGAUGAAGGUCUUCGGAUCGUAAAACUCUGUUAUUAGGGAAGAACAAAUGCGUAAGUAACUAUGCACGUCUUGACGGUACCUAAUCAGAAAGCCACGGCUAACUACGUG
This 497-nucleotide ribosomal RNA is filed under the name uncultured bacterium. RNAcentral's name for it is "partial 16S ribosomal RNA". It matches the Rfam family "Bacterial small subunit ribosomal RNA", at positions 28 to 507 of the family's 1533-position model. The record is from RNAcentral.